AUACUUACCUGGACGGGGUCAAUGGGUGAUCAUAAAGGCUCAUGGCCUAAGUUGUUGACUUCCAUUGCAUGCUGGAGGGGUGUCAAAGAGCCUACGUCAUAAUUUGUUGCAGUGGGGGCCUGCGUUUGCGCGGCUCCUUC
RNAcentral lists this small nuclear RNA (140 nucleotides) under Ipomoea nil (Japanese morning glory). Its description in RNAcentral is "U1 spliceosomal RNA". It matches the Rfam family "U1 spliceosomal RNA". Rfam says of the family: U1 is a small nuclear RNA (snRNA) component of the spliceosome (involved in pre-mRNA splicing). Its 5' end forms complementary base pairs with the 5' splice junction, thus defining the 5' donor site of an intron. The record is from Rfam by way of RNAcentral. Lineage: Eukaryota; Viridiplantae; Streptophyta; Magnoliopsida; Solanales; Convolvulaceae.